Molecule: long non-coding RNA, 284 nt
Organism: Acanthopagrus latus (yellowfin seabream)
Lineage: Eukaryota; Metazoa; Chordata; Actinopteri; Spariformes; Sparidae
Exons: 2
Source: RefSeq, a predicted model, not a curated record
CUGAGAUCGAUACUUCUCGGCUGCCAUGACGACUGGGAGCGGAACAAGCUACUGCUAAGCGUGGCCCAGAGACAAGAGCACUGACUGAUUAUCAAUGAGAAAUGAGCAGGCUGAUCAUUGAGGAAAAAGAAAUACUGAGGAUGGACUUGGAGAAAUGUGGACUGUACAAGUAAAUGACGUGCCAGUAAACCAACAAGACCAAGCUGGAUGUUUCAGUAUGGUAAUUUGAAAUAACAGGAGGGUGCCAUGCUCUUAAAAAUAUGUUUUAAAAAAUUUCUGGCGAC